Molecule: ribosomal RNA, 254 nt
Filed under: uncultured bacterium
Lineage: Bacteria
Description: partial 16S ribosomal RNA
Rfam family: Bacterial small subunit ribosomal RNA
Source: RNAcentral
UACGUAGGGUGCGAGCGUUGUCCGGAAUUAUUGGGCGUAAAGAGCUCGUAGGCGGUCUGUCGCGUCUGCUGUGAAAUCCCGAGGCUCAACCUCGGGCUUGCAGUGGGUACGGGCAGGCUAGAGUGCGGUAGGGGAGAAUGGAACUCCUGGUGUAGCGGUGGAAUGCGCAGAUAUCAGGAAGAACACCGAUGGCGAAGGCAGAUCUCUGAGCCGUAACUGACGCUGAGGAGCGAAAAGCGUGGGGAGCGAACAGG